Molecule: non-coding RNA, 77 nt
Organism: Potamilus streckersoni
Lineage: Eukaryota; Metazoa; Mollusca; Bivalvia; Unionida; Unionidae
Source: the annotation of a GenBank genome assembly
GACCUCUCAGGUGGCUUGGUGGUUAGAGCGUCCACCUCAGAUGCAAGAGGUCCCGGGUUUAAACCUCGGCAGAGUCA